AAUCCUUACUAAUAAAAGGAACCUUUUGAAGCUCCAUAGAGCGUCCACAUCAGCAAAAAAAACUUCUCUCAAAAGAUGACACGUGGCAUAAAAUAUAGUUUUACACUUUAAUAUUACUAAUUUUCGCAAAUUAUAAAUAAUAUGUAAACAUACAUCAUAAAAAAUAGAAAAACUACAUUAAACAUAAGUAAGAUUACCAUUUUUCACUUGAAAAAAAGACGGCUUAUCUCCAUAAUGUAACAUUACCAUUUUAUAAAAAAAAAAAACAUUAUAUAUAAUUUCGAAAAUAAUAAAUAUAUGUAAACAUACAACAUAAAAAAUGGAAAUACUACAUUAAACAUAUGUAAGAUUACCAUUUUACAUUUUUAAUUUAAAAAAUAAUAAUACCUUACUAAUAAAAGGAACCUUUUGAAGCUCCAUAGAGCGUCCACAUCAGCAAAAAAAACUUCUCUCAAAAGAUGACACGUGGCAUAAAAUAUAGUUUUACACUUUAAUAUUACUAAUUUUCGCAAAUUAUAAAUAAUAUGUAAACAUACAUCAUAAAAAAUAGAAAAACUACAUUAAACAUAAGUAAGAUUACCAUUUUUCACUUGAAAAAAAGACGGCUUAUCUCCAUAAUGUAACAUUACCAUUUUAUAAAAAAAAAAAACAUUAUAUAUAAUUUCGAAAAUAAUAAAUAUAUGUAAACAUACAACAUAAAAAAUGGAAAUACUACAUUAAACAUAUGUAAGAUUACCAUUUUACAUUUUUAAUUUAAAAAAUAAUAAUAUGUAAGCAUACAACAUAAAAAAUAGAAAAACUACAUUAAACAUAUGUAAGAUUACCAUUUUUCACUAAAAAAAGACGGUUUAUCUCCAUAAUGUAAAAUUACUAUUUUGCAAAAAAAACAUUAUAUAUAAUUUCGAAAAUAAUAAAUAAUAUGUAAACAUACAACAUAAAAAAAUGGAAAUACUACAUUAAACAUAUGUAAGAUUACCAUUUUAUAUUUAAAAAUAACAAUAAUAUGUAAACAUACAACAUAAAAAAAUGGAAAAACUACAUUAAACAUAUGUAAGAUUUCCAUUUUUCACUAAAAAAAAGCGGCUUAUCUCCAUAAUGUAACAUUACCAUUUUAUAAAAAAAGAAAAAAAACAUAGAGCGUCCACAUCAGCAAAAAAAACUUCUCUCAAAAGAUGUUACGUGGCAUAAAAUAUAGUUUUACACUUUAAUAUUACUAAUUUUCGCAAAUUAUAAAUAAUAUGUAAACAUACAUCAUAAAAAAUAUAAAAACUACAUUAAACAUAAGUAAGAUUACCAUUUUUCACUUGAAAAAAAGACGGCUUAUCUCCAUAAUGUAACAUUACCAUUUUAUUAAAAAAAAAACAUUAUAUAUAAUUUCGAAAAUAAUAAAUAUAUGUAAACAUACAACAUAAAAAAUGGAAAUACUACAUUAAACAUAUGUAAGAUUACCAUUUUACAUUUUUAAUUUAAAAAAAAAUAAUAUGUAAACAUACAACAUAAAAAAUCCUUACUAAUAAAAGGAACCUUUUGAAGCUCCAUAGAGCGUCCACAUCAGCAAAAAAAACUUCUCUCAAAAGAUGACACGUGGCAUAAAAUAUAGUUUUACACUUUAAUAUUACUAAUUUUCGCAAAUUAUAAAUAAUAUGUAAACAUACAUCAUAAAAAAUAGAAAAACUACAUUAAACAUAAGUAAGAUUACCAUUUUUCACUUGAAAAAAAGACGGCUUAUCUCCAUAAUGUAACAUUACCAUUUUAUAAAAAAAAAAAAAUUAUAUAUAAUUUCGAAAAUAAUAAAUAUAUGUAAACAUACAACAUAAAAAAUGGAAAUACUACAUUAAACAUAUGUAAGAUUACCAUUUUACAUUUUUAAUUUAAAAAAUAAUAAUAUGUAAGCAUACAACAUAAAAAAAUAGAAAAACUACAUUAAACAUAUGUAAGAUUACCAUUUUUCACCAAAAAAAGACGGUUUAUCUCCAUAAUGUAAAAUUACUAUUUUGCAAAAAAAACAUUAUAUAUAAUUUCGAAAAUAAUAAAUAAUAUGUAAACAUACAACAUAAAAAAAAUGGAAAUACUACAUUAAACAUAUGUAAGAUUACCAUUUUAUAUUUAAAAAUAACAAUAAUAUGUAAACAUACAACAUAAAAAAAUGGAAAAACUACAUUAAACAUAUGUAAGAUUUCCAUUUUUCACUAAAAAAAAACGGCUUAUCUCCAUAAUGUAACAAUACCAUUUUAUAAAAAAAGAAAAAAAACAUAAAUAUAACUAUUUGACUAUUUGUCCAAGUUCUUCUAUUAAACAUUGCCGUUUUACAUUAAAAAUGUAAAAAUACAUUAAGAUUUAAACAUCUAUCUUAAAAUAUAAAAUAUAGAUAUUAACUAAAUAUAAAGUAUAAGAAAGAGAAAUACUCAAUAUAUAUAAAAAUAAAUAAUAAGUAAAUAUUAUAAAUAUAUAAAUGUACGAAUUAUAUAUACAAUAAUAAGUACAUGCACAUUUUUUUAAAAAUGGAAAGAGUACAUUAAAUAUUAAACAUCUAUUUAAAAUGUAAAAUAUAGAUAUUAAGUAAAUAAAAAGUAUAAGAAAAAGAAAUACACAACUUAAAAACCCUUACUAAUAAAAUGGACAUUUUGAGGCUCCAUAGAGCGUCCACAUCAGCAAAAAAAAAUUCUCCCAAAAGAUGACACGUGACAUAAAAAUACUAAGAAUAACUUUCAAAACAGAGUUAGAGAACAAGUAUGCGGUGAUGACAAUUUGAAUAGUAAAAUAUAAAAUAUAGACCAUUAUAGAUAUUAACUAAAUAUAAUAUCUUAAAUAACAAAUUUUAUUAAAAAACGGGUUAUCUUCAUAAUGUAACAUUACCAUUUUAUAAAAAAAAAAAAAAAAACAUAAAUAUAACUAUUUGACUAUUUGUCAAAGUUCUUCUAUUAAACAUUGCCGUUUUACAUUAAAAAUGGGAAAAUACGUAAAGAUUUAAACAUCUA
This 2978-nucleotide long non-coding RNA is filed under the name Brassica rapa (field mustard). RNAcentral's name for it is "long non-coding RNA (BRAP_LNC005094)". The record is from RNAcentral. Lineage: Eukaryota; Viridiplantae; Streptophyta; Magnoliopsida; Brassicales; Brassicaceae.